ACCUACGGGGGGCAGCAGUGGGGAAUAUUGCACAAUGGGGGGAACCCUGAUGCAGCGACGCCGCGUGGGUGAGGAAGUACUUCGGUAUGUAAAGCCCUAUCCGCAGGGAAGAAAAUGACGGUACCUGACUAAGAAGCCCCGGCUAACUACGUGCCAGCAGCCGCGGUAGUACGUAGGGGGCAAGCGUUAUCCGGAUUUACUGGGUGUAAAGGGAGCGUAGACGGUAUGGCAAGUCUGAAGUGAAAGCCCCGGGCUCAACCUGGGAAUUGCUUUGGAAACUGUUAAACUAGAGUGCUGGAGAGGCA
RNAcentral lists this ribosomal RNA (305 nucleotides) under uncultured bacterium. Its description in RNAcentral is "bacterial SSU rRNA". It matches the Rfam family "Bacterial small subunit ribosomal RNA", at positions 337 to 659 of the family's 1533-position model. The record is from RNAcentral.